Molecule: non-coding RNA, 56 nt
Organism: Salmo salar (Atlantic salmon)
Lineage: Eukaryota; Metazoa; Chordata; Actinopteri; Salmoniformes; Salmonidae
Source: Rfam
UAGUUAUCUAGCUGCCUAAGUCGCUCUGGAUAAGAGCGUCUGCUAAAUGACUUAAA